GCAAUAGAACAAUUAUUUUAUUUUAUAUUUUAUUUCAUUCCAACACAUUGCUUGCAAUCCGUUUUGUUGUAUAAUUGUAUUGAUCCAUCCAUAGCUAUUAUGUUCCCUUGCCUGAUAAUAAAUACUCUAUUCAUACAAUCCACAAAAGUUAGAUUGUAUACAAAUCUAUCAUCUAUCAACUAUCAAUCAUCACUAACCUAUCAACAAUCAGUUACUUUUCCCAAACAAAGUUAUUGUCACAUUCAUAAAAUUAAAGGGAUGUUUGAAUGGGGUGUUUUGGAAGGGUAUUUUGAAAGGUUAACUGAGUCUAUAUUUUGA
Molecule: non-coding RNA, 318 nt
Organism: Vicia faba (fava bean)
Lineage: Eukaryota; Viridiplantae; Streptophyta; Magnoliopsida; Fabales; Fabaceae
Source: the annotation of a GenBank genome assembly